GGACUACAGGGGUAUCUAAUCCCGUUCGCUCCCCUGGCUUUCGCACCCGAGCGUCAGGAGCUUCCCAGGAUGCUGCCUUCGCCAUUGGUGUUCUUCCAGAUCUCUACGCAUUUCACCACUCCACCUGGAAUUCCACAUCCCUCUGAAGCCCUCAAGUCCUACAGUUUCCAGAGUCCUUUUCCGGUUAAGCCGGAAACUGUCACCCCAGACUGAUAGGACCGCCUGCGUGCGCUUUACGCCCAGUAACUCCGGACAACGCUUGCCUCCUACGUAUUACCGCGGCUGCUGGCAC
RNAcentral lists this ribosomal RNA (292 nucleotides) under uncultured bacterium. RNAcentral's name for it is "partial 16S ribosomal RNA". The record is from RNAcentral.